RNAcentral lists this ribosomal RNA (253 nucleotides) under uncultured bacterium. Its description in RNAcentral is "partial 16S ribosomal RNA". It matches the Rfam family "Bacterial small subunit ribosomal RNA", at positions 524 to 776 of the family's 1533-position model. The record is from RNAcentral.
UACGGAGGGUGCGAGCGUUGUUCGGAAUCACUGGGCGUAAAGCGCGUGUAGGCGGCCUCUUAAGUCUGGUGUGAAAGCCCGGGGCUUACCCCCGGAAGGGCACUGGAGACUGGGAGGCUUGAGUACCGGAGAGGAAGGUGGAAUUCCUGGUGUAGCGGUGAAAUGCGUAGAUAUCAGGAGGAACACCGGUGGCGAAGGCGGCCUUCUGGACGGCUACUGACGCUGAGACGCGAAAGCGUGGGGAGCAAACAGG